Molecule: non-coding RNA, 1430 nt
Organism: Macaca mulatta (Rhesus monkey)
Lineage: Eukaryota; Metazoa; Chordata; Mammalia; Primates; Cercopithecidae
Source: RefSeq, a predicted model, not a curated record
UACUAAAGCUGGAUUUAAGCAUUAUAAUGAUUUGAAUUAUUCAAUACCACAGAUGUCCUCAGAUCUUCACAACUGUUACAAUUCAAGAACCCAAAUGGAGUGAAAAUGAGAUCUCAGGCUCCAAAGAAAUUACAACGAUAAGUCACAAAUAUGUAAUGGACAGAUAAGAGGAAAAAAAAUAGGAUGAACAUGUGAUAGUUGGCAUGUGGCAAGACGGAAUCUGAGAAAUGAAUUUCAUCGAAAUGGAAGAUGAAAUAGGUGAUACAUUUUAUAGUUACCUAUUUUUACUUUGAAGAUUGGAUGGAGAAAAGCUAUCAUCUUCUUGGUUAUAUUAGGACUCAGCAAGUAGAUAUUCAUCUAUGAGUUAAUUCAACCAUUCCUUUAGCAACCAUAAUAAGAAGUGCUGUUGACUAGAAGUAAGAAUGCCAGCUCUUUCUUGAAUGAGAAGCAAACUAAAGCUAUUUCUUCUUUUUCUGGCUGUUUGAUCUCAGGCUAGCAUGACUGUUGCUAUGAUGACACAUUCCUGGAUUCCAGUCUUCCUACAUUUUUAGGCAUACAACAUAGAGGCAGGGGAUAAAGUCCAGUGGAUGAAUUUUUCAACAGUGAAGAGCUGUCCUCAUCGUGGUGCUCUCCACUGACCCCAGGCUUGGACACCAAACUCCCCCACCUUAAUGAUCAAGAAGGUAUCAUCUGCCAUGUCCAUCCAAGACCUGCCAUCUCCUGAUAUGCAACAGGAAAGCUUCUCUGAGACUCAUUUUUUUCUCAUCUGUAAACUGACUUGACAUUUGUAUCUACCAAGUUUCGUGUGAGGCUUAAAUGUAAUAAAACAUGUUAAACCAAAAAAUAAAAAAUAAAUAAUUGCUUAAAUUAAACAAACAAAUAAAAAAUAAAUAAAUAGACAAUAGACAAUAUUAAGUGUGUUGACUUGCAUGUUGAACAAUUACAGGUCUUAAUAAUUAAGGGUAAAUUAAAUGUUACAAAUACUUCUGAAAACUUGUUUCCAGUAUCUAUUAAAAUAACAUGUCACCUAAUAUUUUGUACACACACACACACACUCGCACAGGAUAAAUUCUAAAUUGUAAUGUGUCUGUGUUUCAGUCAACUGGUAUAUCCAUAUAUAUGCAUUGAAAGAUACAAAGAAGAAUGUCAACAGCAGCAUCAUUUAUAUUGGCCCCAAUUUUGUCAAAUUUUCCAAUGCUCCUCACAAGUGAAUUGGAUACAUAAAUUAUUGUAUAUACAAUGAAGUACUGUACAUCAAUUAAAAACAACAAAUUACUCCUAUUCGUAAGAACAGAGAUAAACCACACACAUGAUUUUGAGUUUGAGUGAAAGAAGUCACUGAUGAACGAGUACAAAUGGCUGCUAUUAAGAUGUAUUACUUGAGUGAGAUGGUAUCUCAUUGUGGUUUGGAUUUGCAUUUCUCUAAUGAU